RNAcentral lists this ribosomal RNA (721 nucleotides) under Sordariomycetes sp. genotype 644 JMUR-2016. RNAcentral's name for it is "eukaryotic LSU rRNA". The stretch from base 157 to 721 matches the Rfam family "Eukaryotic large subunit ribosomal RNA", at positions 1 to 578 of the family's 3401-position model. Lineage: Eukaryota; Fungi; Ascomycota; Sordariomycetes. The record is from RNAcentral.
UCAGGCCCAGCCUGGCGUUGGGGCGCUGCGCGAGAGCGCAGGCCCUCAAGUACAGUGGCGAGCCGGCCGGGAACCCGAGCGUAGUAACACUCUUCGCCCUGGGGCCCCGGGCGACCUCCGCCGUUAAACGGGACGCGAGAGCGCCCUCCACAAGGUUGACCUCGGAUCAGGUAGGAAUACCCGCUGAACUUAAGCAUAUCAAUAAGCGGAGGAAAAGAAACCAACAGGGAUUGCCCCAGUAACGGCGAGUGAAGCGGCAACAGCUCAGAUUUGAAAUCCGGCCUCGGCCCGAGUUGUAAUCUGUAGGGGAUGUCCCUGGCGCGGCGCCUACCGAGUUCCCUGGAACGGGACGCCAUAGAGGGUGAGAGCCCCGUAUGGUUGGACGCCAAGCCUCUGUGGGACUCCUCCGACGAGUCGAGUAGUUUGGGAAUGCUGCUCUAAUUGGGAGGUAAAUCUCUUCUAAAGCUAAAUACCGGCCAGAGACCGAUAGCGCACAAGUAGAGUGAUCGAAAGAUGAAAAGCACCUUGGAAAGGGGGUUAAACAGCACGUGAAAUUGUUGAAAGGGAAGCGCCCAUGACCAGACUCGCGCCGGGCGGAUCAUCCAGCGUUCUCGCUGGUGCACUCCGCCCGGUACGGGCCAGCAUCGGUUUUCGCGGGGGGACAAGAGCGGCGGGAACGUGGCCCCUCCGGGGGUGUUAUAGCCCGCCGCACGAUGCCCUC